UUGUCUCAAAGAUUAAGCCAUGCAUGUCUCAGUACAAGCCAAAUUAAGGUGAAACCGCGAAAGGCUCAUUAAAUCAGUUAUGGUUCCUUAGAUCGUACUCACAUUUACUUGGAUAACUGUGGUAAUUCUAGAGCUAAUACAUGCAAACAGAGCUCCAACCGGAAACGGAAGGAGCGCUUUUAUUAGAUCAAAACCAAUCGGUGGCGGUCUCCGUCAUCGUACAACUUGGUGACUCUGAAUAACUUUACGCUGAUCGCACGGUCUCGCACCGGCGACGCAUCUUUCAAAUGUCUGCCUUAUCAACUGUCGAUGGUAGGUUCUGCGCCUACCAUGGUUGUAACGGGUAACGGGGAAUCAGGGUUCGAUUCCGGAGAGGGAGCCUGAGAAACGGCUACCACAUCCAAGGAAGGCAGCAGGCGCGCAAAUUACCCACUCCCGGCACGGGGAGGUAGUGACGAAAAAUAACGAUACGGGACUCAUCCGAGGCCCCGUAAUCGGAAUGAGUACACUCUAAACCCUUUAACGAGGAUCAAUUGGAGGGCAAGUCUGGUGCCAGCAGCCGCGGUAAUUCCAGCUCCAAUAGCGUAUAUUAAAGUUGUUGCGGUUAAAAAG
This 612-nucleotide ribosomal RNA is filed under the name Graptopezus crenaticollis. RNAcentral describes it as "SSU rRNA". It matches the Rfam family "Eukaryotic small subunit ribosomal RNA", at positions 32 to 626 of the family's 1831-position model. The record is from RNAcentral. Lineage: Eukaryota; Metazoa; Arthropoda; Insecta; Coleoptera; Tenebrionidae.